This 850-nucleotide ribosomal RNA is filed under the name uncultured bacterium. RNAcentral describes it as "bacterial SSU rRNA". It matches the Rfam family "Bacterial small subunit ribosomal RNA", at positions 52 to 932 of the family's 1533-position model. The record is from RNAcentral.
AACUGCAGUCGACGGGGCCUUCGGGUCCAGUGGCGAACGGCGGAGUAAUACGUGAGCAACGUGCCCUAAAGACCGGGAUAGUCAGUGGAAACGCUGGGUAAUACCGGAUGUGGAAGCUCUUUGGCAUCAGAGAGCUUUUAAAUGGUUUUUCGCUUUAGGAGCGGCUCACGGCCUAUCAGGUAGUUGGUGGGGUGAAGGCCUACCAAGCCGACGACGGGUAGCGGGUCUGAGAGGAUGACCCGCUCGAGUGGGACUGAGACACGGCCCACACACCUACGGGUGGCAGCAGUUGGGAAUCUUGCACAAUGGGGGAAACCCUGAUGCAGCGACGCCGCGUGGAGGAUGACGGGUCUAGGCCUGUAAACUCCUUUUACCAGGAAAGACUUAGGACGGUACCUGGUGAAUAAGCACCGGCUAACUACGUGCCAGCAGCCGCGGUAAGACGUAGGGUGCAAGCGUUGUCCGGAUUUACUGGGCGUAAAGGGCGCGUAGGCGGCUCGUUAAGUGUGAAGUGAAAUCCCUAGGGCUCAACCCAGGAACUGCUUUACAUACUGGCGGGCUUGAGGAUCGAAGAGGCUUGUGGAAUUCCUGGUGUAGCGGUGAAAUGCGUUGAUAUCAGGAGGAACACCCAUGGCGAAGGCAGCAAGCUGGUCGAUUCCUGACGCUGAGGCGCGAAAGCGUGGGUAGCAAACAGGAUUAGAUACCCUGGUAGUCCACGCCCUAAACGAUGGAUGCUAGGCGUGAGGGGUAUCGACCCCCCUCGUGCCGCAGCUAACGCACUAACAUCCCGCCUGGGGACUACGGCCGCAAGGUUGAAACUCAAUGAAUUGACGGGGACCCGCACAAGUGG